RNAcentral lists this ribosomal RNA (604 nucleotides) under Fomes fomentarius. Its description in RNAcentral is "LSU rRNA". It matches the Rfam family "Eukaryotic large subunit ribosomal RNA", at positions 35 to 620 of the family's 3401-position model. Lineage: Eukaryota; Fungi; Basidiomycota; Agaricomycetes; Polyporales; Polyporaceae. The record is from RNAcentral.
UAAGCAUAUCAAUAAGCGGAGGAAAAGAAACUAACAAGGAUUCCCCUAGUAACUGCGAGUGAAGCGGGAAAAGCUCAAAUUUAAAAUCUGGCGGUCUUUGGCCGUCCGAGUUGUAGUCUGGAGAAGUGCUUUCCGCGCUGGACCGUGUAUAAGUCUCUUGGAACAGAGCGUCAUAGAGGGUGAGAAUCCCGUCUUUGACACGGACUACCAGUGCUUUGUGAUGCGCUCUCAAAGAGUCGAGUUGUUUGGGAAUGCAGCUCAAAAUGGGUGGUGAAUUCCAUCUAAAGCUAAAUAUUGGCGAGAGACCGAUAGCGAACAAGUACCGUGAGGGAAAGAUGAAAAGCACUUUGGAAAGAGAGUUAAACAGUACGUGAAAUUGCUGAAAGGGAAACGCUUGAAGUCAGUCGCGUCGUCCGGAACUCAGCCUUGCUUUUGCUUGGUGCACUUUCCGGUUGACGGGCCAGCAUCGAUUUUGACCGUCGGAAAAGGGCUAGAGUAAUGUGGCACCUCCGGGUGUGUUAUAGACUCUAGUCGCAUACGGCGGUUGGGAUCGAGGAACGCAGCGCGCCGCAAGGCAGGGGUUCGCCCACUUUCGCGCUUAGGA